RNAcentral lists this small RNA (378 nucleotides) under Pan troglodytes (chimpanzee). RNAcentral's name for it is "processed transcript". The record is from RNAcentral. Lineage: Eukaryota; Metazoa; Chordata; Mammalia; Primates; Hominidae.
CAGCCUGGAAAAGGUAGUAAGAAGAUCCAGCUGCUCCUGGUGUCUGACUGUCCUUUAUUUCUCUUGCAGAAAGUGGUUUCUGGAGAAGUUAAAGCCUGAAGGUCUCCACCAGCUCCUGGCCGGGUUCGAGGACAAGUCAGCCUAUGCGCUCUGCACGUUUGCACUCAGCACCGGGGACCCAAGCCAGCCCGUGCGCCUGUUCAGGGGCCGGACCUCGGGCCAGAUCGUGGCACCCAGAGGCUGCCAGGACUUUGGCUGGGACCCCUGCUUUCAGCCUGAUGGAUAUGAGCAGACGUACGCAGAGAUGCCUAAGGCGGAGAAGAACGCUGUCUCCCAUCGCUUCCGGGCCCUGCUGGAGCUGCAGGAGUACUUUGGCAG